Molecule: ribosomal RNA, 440 nt
Filed under: uncultured bacterium
Lineage: Bacteria
Description: bacterial SSU rRNA
Rfam family: Bacterial small subunit ribosomal RNA
Source: RNAcentral
CCUANGGGAGGCAGCAGUGGGGAAUAUUGGACAAUGGGCGCAAGCCUGAUCCAGCAAUGCCGCGUGAGUGAUGAAGGCCUUAGGGUUGUAAAGCUCUUUCGGCGGGGAAGAUGAUGACGGUACCCGCAGAAGAAGCCCCGGCUAACUUCGUGCCAGCAGCCGCGGUAAUACGAAGGGGGCUAGCGUUGUUCGGAAUUACUGGGCGUAAAGGGCGCGUAGGCGGCGCGUUAAGUCAGGUGUGAAAGCCCUGGGCUCAACCCAGGAAUUGCACUUGAUACUGACGUGCUUGAAUCCGGAAGAGGAUGACGGAAUUCCCAGUGUAGAGGUGAAAUUCAUUGAUAUUGGGAAGAACACCAGUGGCGAAGGCGGUCAUCUGGUCCGGUAUUGACGCUGAGGCGCGAAAGCGUGGGGAGCAAACAGGAUUAGAUACCCCGNUANUC